UGCGAUAGGUCCGGAGUCAGUGGGUUAUCAAUCCGUGAACCACCCCAUUGGCAUUCACUCGACCUCCGC
Molecule: small RNA, 69 nt
Filed under: Ancylostoma duodenale
Lineage: Eukaryota; Metazoa; Nematoda; Chromadorea; Rhabditida; Ancylostomatidae
Description: Nematode sRNA ceN72-3_ceN74-2
Rfam family: Nematode sRNA ceN72-3_ceN74-2
Source: Rfam by way of RNAcentral